RNAcentral lists this ribosomal RNA (236 nucleotides) under Staphylococcus sp. HMSC063F10. RNAcentral's name for it is "partial 16S ribosomal RNA". It matches the Rfam family "Bacterial small subunit ribosomal RNA", at positions 1176 to 1411 of the family's 1533-position model. The record is from RNAcentral. Lineage: Bacteria; Bacillati; Bacillota; Bacilli; Caryophanales; Staphylococcaceae.
GGGAUGACGUCAAAUCAUCAUGCCCCUUAUGAUUUGGGCUACACACGUGCUACAAUGGACAAUACAAAGGGCAGCGAAACCGCGAGGUCAAGCAAAUCCCAUAAAGUUGUUCUCAGUUCGGAUUGUAGUCUGCAACUCGACUACAUGAAGCUGGAAUCGCUAGUAAUCGUAGAUCAGCAUGCUACGGUGAAUACGUUCCCGGGUCUUGUACACACCGCCCGUCACACCACGAGAGU